Molecule: transfer RNA, 73 nt
Filed under: Paralichthys olivaceus (Japanese flounder)
Lineage: Eukaryota; Metazoa; Chordata; Actinopteri; Pleuronectiformes; Paralichthyidae
Also listed under: 1 other name
Description: tRNA-Thr
Rfam family: tRNA
About the family: Transfer RNA (tRNA) molecules are approximately 80 nucleotides in length. Their secondary structure includes four short double-helical elements and three loops (D, anti-codon, and T loops). Further hydrogen bonds mediate the characteristic L-shaped molecular structure. tRNAs have two regions of fundamental functional importance: the anti-codon, which is responsible for specific mRNA codon recognition, and the 3' end, to which the tRNAs corresponding amino acid is attached (by aminoacyl-tRNA synthetases). tRNAs cope with the degeneracy of the genetic code in two manners: having more than one tRNA (with a specific anti-codon) for a particular amino acid; and 'wobble' base-pairing, i.e. permitting non-standard base-pairing at the 3rd anti-codon position.
Source: RNAcentral
GCAUUAGUAGCUCAGUGUUUAGAGCGCCAGUCUUGUAAACUGGCUGUCGAGGGUUAAAAUCCCUCCUGUUGCU